UACAGAGGUGGCAAGCGUUGUUCGGAAUUACUGGGCGUAAAGGGCGCGUAGGCGGCCCACUAAGUCAGACGUGAAAUCCCCCGGCUUAACCUGGGAACUGCGUCUGAUACUGGAGGGCUUGAGUAUGGGAGAGGGAUGUAGAAUUCCAGGUGUAGCGGUGAAAUGCGUAGAUAUCUGGAGGAAUACCGGUGGCGAAGGCGGCUUUCUGGACAGAUACCGACGCUGAGGCACGAAAGCUAGGGGAGCAAACAGG
This 253-nucleotide ribosomal RNA is filed under the name uncultured bacterium. RNAcentral's name for it is "partial 16S ribosomal RNA". It matches the Rfam family "Bacterial small subunit ribosomal RNA", at positions 524 to 776 of the family's 1533-position model. The record is from RNAcentral.